This 4490-nucleotide long non-coding RNA is filed under the name Anolis carolinensis (green anole). Its description in RNAcentral is "lncRNA (ENSACAG00000044184.1)". The record is from RNAcentral. Lineage: Eukaryota; Metazoa; Chordata; Lepidosauria; Squamata; Anolidae.
AUGAACCUUACAGAAAAACAAACCAAAGAAAAUGAAGCAAUAGCCUCCAUUGAAAUAAAGCCAUCAGAGAGCCAACUGCAGUCGUAUCUUGUCCUUGAAGCAGCUGUGGCUCCCGUUUUGCAAGACCUCGUAACUCUUGGCAGACAUAAUUGGAAGUUUGCCACCCUUAAUUUUGAUGACUCCAGAUUUUUUUUAAAACAACAAGAGAAAGUGAUGAGUGAUACUUUUAAAGAGGGUAUGACUGGUAAGGGGCCUCCUCCAAAGUAUGUGUUUAACUUUAAUAAUAGGGAACCGGAUGAGUGAUCAUAUUCAUACAAAGAUUGUAAUGAUGAUACCAUUUAAAAGUGAUUAUGGGUCAGAUCCAGGAGAGAGAUGACCCAAAACUUGAUUAUUCUAACUCAAGAUGGAUCUACACUGCCAAAUAAUGUUGUUUAACUGCAUACCGUGUUUCCCCGAAAAUAAGACAGUGUCUUAUAUUAUUUUUUGCUCCUAAAGAUGCACUAGGUCUUAUUUUCAGGGGAUGUCUUAUUUUUCCAUGAAGAAGAAUUCACAUUUAUUGUUGAACAAAAAAUGAACAUUUAUUAUAUACUGUACAGUAGUUUUCAUCACAAACCAACAUAACCAAACCAGACAAACUGUAACUCCUGUCAAGAAUUUCUUGUUAUUACCAUUAUUUCCAUGUACAACUCGUAUGUACAUUUACCAAUCCUGCAUGCUCUGGUGUUUUGUUUGGCGGGUGCCGAGCAUCCUUCCAAGCAAAAAUUUUGCUAGGUCUUACUUUCGGGGGAGGCCUUAUAUUUAGCAAUUCAGCAAAACUUCUGCUAGGUCUUAUUUUUUGGGGAUGUCUUAUUUUCAGGGAAACAGGGUAGAACUGGAUUAUAAAGACACACAUAAUCCAGUUCUAUGCAGUUAAACUGCAUUUUAAAACUGCAUUAUUUGGCAGUGUAGACCCAGCCUCGGUAUACAUUACCUUUAAAUACUCAUAUGGUUGCGGUCAGAAGUAGGAUGAAAGUGGAGGAAGAAAAAGCAUUGGCCUGUAUCAAUUAUAGUGAUUUAGGUUACUCUCCCAAUAAUUUCUUUCUCCUCAAGGCACAUCAUUUGUUCACUCAGCGUUUAGGAAGAAUCUAAAUGAUGUUGCUCUCAGCCACUGCAUGCUAGUGUUUUAUUGUCCUUCCUUGUAUGUUCAGAAAUACCGUAAGACCUCCAUAUCUAUAAGGAAUAAACUCCUGGGUGAAAACAUGGAUAUGAUCAAAUGCCAUUAAAUAUCUCACUUCAGUGCCGACAUACCAUCAAGUUGUGUUGGAGGACCUAGAGAGGCAUCUUUUCUAGACAUUUGCUAGAUCCUCAGUGCAACUCUUUAAUAUCUUAUUAGAAAAGUAUACCAUAUAAUUGCCUUGAGGACCUAGCAAAUUCCUGGAGAGACCAUUUUCCACCUGAGUGUUGUCAAACCACUGGUAUGGGUUCCAUUGGUAUGGGAGGGUCAUGCAGUGAUUUAUUAUUUUUGAUCUUAGAAAUAUUACUGUUGUGAUAUUGUAGUAACAGUAGUUGAAUACUGCUGUCAGUGCAACAUGGAUGUGUGUAAUUAAAGCUUUUACCCAUAGAGCAGAGUAAAUUAAAAAGCCAAAUGAGGAUGCUGAAGCCUCAGGUGAACAGGAAACAACUAAAUCAUAUUUAAAGUGUUAAUAACCAACAACCAGAAACUGCUAUAAGAUAAAGGAACAAGGAAGAAGACAGUAAUUAGAGAAUAACAAUCUGGGAAAGAAACACUUAAGUGACCUAUCUUUUAAAAAAGUCUUGCCAAUCGAGAGAGGACAGAUUUUGUAGGCUUGGAAAGUUAAAUAUAGCUCUAUAAUAAGCAAUGAGUUGAGUCAUUCAUUUCAUUUUACUUCUGAUUGCAGAACAGCAUUGUUCCAGCAGUUUGUGUGUAGAGCCUUGUGUAGAAGCAUCUUUAGGGUCUCAAAUGUAGAACCUUGUAGUAAAAUGUUGUUUCUUGGGCUAUGAUUACUAAACCUUGUCUUUUGAAGGAAAAUCAUAAGUUAAAAAAUACUUUUUUCUUAAUUAGGUACCCAGGAUGGGAAAGAUAUUACAUUGUUCAAACAUGCUGCUGUUCUUCACUUGCUGGUAACAGUUCGAGACCUCUUACUAACAUGUAACUUGAGCACAGCAUUGGGUUAGUUUUAUAAGUAAAUAUGUGUGUGUGUUUGUGUGUGUUCAGUCACCUGUCGACUUAAAGUGAUCCUAUGAGUAGUAUAGGUUUUUAGGGCAAGGAAUAGUCAGAGGUGUUUUUCACGUUCCUUCCUUUGAAAUAAAGCCUAGAGUACCUAAAUCAGUGGUUCUCAACCUGUGGGUCCCCAAAUGUUUUGGCCUUCAACUCCCAGAAAUCCAAACAUCUGGUAAACUGGCUGGGAUUUCUGGGAGUUGUAUGCCAAAACACCUGGAGACCCACAGGUUGAGAACCACUGACCUAAGUGGUCUUUCAUUCAAGUACAGACCAGAGUUGUUAUUAUUUGGCUUGCGAGAUUGGACAAAAUCUAGCGCUUUUAGGGUAUUUAGACAUGGCUAUAAAUAAAUUUACACUAUCAUAAUUUAAAUGAAAUAUAUAUUUGAAAGCCUACUGUUAAAUAGAGAAACUCUGUCAUUAUAUGAACAUCUGUUGGUAUUCUUAAUAUUUUGGUUGUAAAAUAGUUUGUAUAGUUUUAUAAAAUUGUAGUUUGAUAGUCUCAGUCAAAUAUUUUAUUAUCAGGUUACUUGUAGCAAAGCUUUAGGGGUAUAAAUGGGAAAGGAAAAAAAUUAUUAAUCUACUUAUUUUUAAAUAGGAUAUUUGUCCAAGGCAAAGGAUAACUAUAAGGACUUCCUAGGCUCUAGCCUGGAUAAUAUUUGGAGACAGUUGAAGAUUGUGCAGUUUGCUCUACAGAAACAUGAAACCAAUCCCAAGAUAACAGAACUGCAGCAUCAAAUCUCUAAAUCUGUACACGGUAAUACAGAUGAUCAGAAUAAGGUAAAUUAUAUUAAAAGGUUGGUGACUGAUGAAAAUCAUUGUAUGGUUUUAUUGGGUCGCUUUGAGUUUUCCGGGCUGUAUAGCCAUGUUCCAGAAGCAUUCUCUCCUGACGUUUCGCCCACAUCUAUGGCAGACAUUCUCAGAGGUAAUGAGGUCUGUUGGAAACUAGUAAAGUGGGAUUUAUAUACAGUAGAGUCUCACUUAUCCAAGCUAAACAGGCCGGCAGAAGCUUGGAUAAGCGAAUAACUUGGAUAAUAAGGAGAGAUUAAGGAAAAGCCUAUUAAACAUCAAAUUGGGUUAUGAUUUUACAAAUUAAGCACCAAAACUUCAUGUUAUACAACAAAUUUGACAGAAAAAGUAGUUCAAUACGCAGUAAUGUUAUGUUGUAAUUACUGUAUUUACGAAUUUAGCACCAAAAUGUCACAAUAUAUUGAAAACAUUGACUACAAAAAUGGCUUGGAUUAUCCAGAGGCUUGGAUAAGCGAGGCUUGGAUAAGUGAGACUCUACUGUAUCUGGAAUGUUCAGAAUGGGAUAAAGAACUCUUGUCUGUUUGAGACAAAUGUGAAUAUUGUAGUUGGCCACCUUGAUUAGUAUUGAAUGGCCUUUCAGCCUCAAAGCCUGGCUGCUUCCUGUCUGGGAGAAUCCUUUGUUGGGAAGUGUUAGCUGGUCCUGAUUGUUUCCUGUCUGGAAUUCCCCUGUUUUCUGAGUGUUGUUCUUUAUUUACUGUCCUGAUUUUAGAGUUUUUUAUACUGGUAGCCAGAUUUUGUUCAUGUUCAUGGUUUCUUCCUUUCUGUUUCUCCUUUAUGGUUUUAUUGCUACAACUGACAGAUAAAAUUAUACAUAAAGUAAGAAUACUUAGGGAAGGGAUGUGUUCCCUUAAAGUAACAGAGAGCCCCAGCUUGUCUUUUGAAAUGUGGCCCUUCUUACUUACUGGAAAUUCUUUUGCUACAACUCCUAAAAUGUGCAAAAAGUGCUAGUAAUAGCAGACAUGUGCAACUCCAACCUGUCACCUUAAUGAAGUUAUUUUCUAAUUAGCAGAUGUGUACAUGAAAUUCCUCUAAAUGCAGCUCUUCCUAGUAAGAUCAAGAGCUUCUAGAAGGGCUAUCCCAGGGCAUUUUAACUGCCUAAAGUGGAUCAACAAAUAUCAUUUUCAACUUAACACAUUUAUUUUUAGCAAGAUUUAUUCAGAGUAGGCUUGCUAGCUCCUUCUUCUGAGUCUACGGGAAUUUGGCUUGGCCAAGCUGACAUGAUGGGUUUUCAUGGAUUAGCAGAGAUUAAACCCCGGUCCCCAACAGUCAUAGUUCAACACUCAAACUACUGAACCACAUUGGCACUUUUUCAGUUGUUAGUCCUAUCUAAAAUAGACCCAUUGAACAGUGGAGUACUGGUAAGGCAACAGAUAGACCACUUGUGGCUGGAAAUUAGAUUUAGGCUGGGAUGAAUAAUUUUAAAAUUGUUGCCCUUUCAUGAUGCUUAAAAUCAUGAGAUGGC